GACUCCUACGGGAGGCAGCAGUCGGGAAUCUUGCACAAUGGGCGAAAGCCUGAUGCAGCAACGCCGUGUGAGCGACGAAGGCCCUAGGGUCGUAAAGCUCUGUUGUUAGGGACGAAGGGCGAAGCGGUUAAUAGCCCUUAGCCUGACGGUACCUUUCGAGGAAGCCCCGGCUAACUACGUGCCAGCAGCCGCGGUAAUACGUAGGGGGCGAGCGUUGUCCGGAAUUAUUGGGCGUAAAGGGCGCGUAGGCGGCCUGGUAAGUCUGCUGUGAAACCUUGGGGCUCAACCCCAAGCGUGCAGUGGAUACUGUCAGGCUAGAGGAUGGUAGAGGCCAGUGGAAUUCCCGGUGUAGCGGUGAAAUGCGCAGAUAUCGGGAGGAACACCAGUAGCGAAGGCGGCUGGCUGGGCCAUUCCUGACGCUGAGGCGCGAAAGCUAGGGGAGCGAACAGGAUUAGAUACCCUGGUAGUCCUAGCCGUAAACGAUGAACACUAGGUGUGGGGGGAGUCGAAUCCCUCCGUGCCGAAGCCAACGCGUUAAGUGUUCCGCCUGGGGAGUACGGCCGCAAGGCUAAAACUCAAAUGAAUUGACGGGG
This 593-nucleotide ribosomal RNA is filed under the name uncultured Rubrobacter sp. RNAcentral describes it as "bacterial SSU rRNA". It matches the Rfam family "Bacterial small subunit ribosomal RNA", at positions 334 to 918 of the family's 1533-position model. The record is from RNAcentral. Lineage: Bacteria; Bacillati; Actinomycetota; Rubrobacteria; Rubrobacterales; Rubrobacteraceae.